RNAcentral lists this ribosomal RNA (317 nucleotides) under uncultured bacterium. RNAcentral describes it as "bacterial SSU rRNA". It matches the Rfam family "Bacterial small subunit ribosomal RNA", at positions 28 to 334 of the family's 1533-position model. The record is from RNAcentral.
GAUAAACGCUGGCGGCGCACAUAAGACAUGCAAGUCGAACGGACUUAACCUAAAAGUUUACUUUUUGGAGCGGUUAGUGGCGGACUGGUGAGUAACAUGUAAGCAAUCUGCCUAUCAGAGGGGAAUAACAGUGAGAAAUCAUUGCUAAUACCGCAUAUGCCAUAGUUAUCGCAUGAUAAUAGUGGGAAAGGAGCAAUCCGCUGAUAGAUGAGCUUGCACCUGAUUAGCUAGUUGGUGGGGUAACGGCCUACCAAGGCGACGAUCAGUAGCCGGACUGAGAGGUUGAACGGCCACAUUGGGACUGAGAUACGGCCCAG